This 1055-nucleotide ribosomal RNA is filed under the name Acinetobacter baylyi. Its description in RNAcentral is "bacterial SSU rRNA". It matches the Rfam family "Bacterial small subunit ribosomal RNA", at positions 22 to 1069 of the family's 1533-position model. Lineage: Bacteria; Pseudomonadati; Pseudomonadota; Gammaproteobacteria; Moraxellales; Moraxellaceae. The record is from RNAcentral.
GCUCAGAUUGAACGCUGGCGGCAGGCUUAACACAUGCAAGUCGAGCGGAGUGAUGGUGCUUGCACUAUCACUUAGCGGCGGACGGGUGAGUAAUGCUUAGGAAUCUGCCUAUUAGUGGGGGACAACAUCUCGAAAGGGAUGCUAAUACCGCAUACGUCCUACGGGAGAAAGCAGGGGAUCACUUGUGACCUUGCGCUAAUAGAUGAGCCUAAGUCGGAUUAGCUAGUUGGUGGGGUAAAGGCCUACCAAGGCGACGAUCUGUAGCGGGUCUGAGAGGAUGAUCCGCCACACUGGGACUGAGACACGGCCCAGACUCCUACGGGAGGCAGCAGUGGGGAAUAUUGGACAAUGGGGGGAACCCUGAUCCAGCCAUGCCGCGUGUGUGAAGAAGGCCUUAUGGUUGUAGAGCACUUUAAGCGAGGAGGAGGCUCUUUUGGUUAAUACCCAAGAUGAGUGGACGUUACUCGCAGAAUAAGCACCGGCUAACUCUGUGCCAGCAGCCGCGGUAAUACAGAGGGUGCAAGCGUUAAUCGGAUUUACUGGGCGUAAAGCGCGCGUAGGCGGCCAAUUAAGUCAAAUGUGAAAUCCCCGAGCUUAACUUGGGAAUUGCAUUCGAUACUGGUUGGCUAGAGUGUGGGAGAGGAUGGUAGAAUUCCAGGUGUAGCGGUGAAAUGCGUAGAGAUCUGGAGGAAUACCGAUGGCGAAGGCAGCCAUCUGGCCUAACACUGACGCUGAGGUGCGAAAGCAUGGGGAGCAAACAGGAUUAGAUACCCUGGUAGUCCAUGCCGUAAACGAUGUCUACUAGCCGUUGGGGCCUUUGAGGCUUUAGUGGCGCAGCUAACGCGAUAAGUAGACCGCCUGGGGAGUACGGUCGCAAGACUAAAACUCAAAUGAAUUGACGGGGGCCCGCACAAGCGGUGGAGCAUGUGGUUUAAUUCGAUGCAACGCGAAGAACCUUACCUGGCCUUGACAUAGUAGAAACUUUCCAGAGAUGGAUUGGUGCCUUCGGGAAUCUACAUACAGGUGCUGCAUGGCUGUCGUCAGCUCGUGUUGUG